AGUGAACGCUGGCGGUAGGCCUAACACAUGCAAGUCGAACGGCAGCACAGGAGAGCUUGCUCUCUGGGUGGCGAGUGGAGGACGGGUGAGGAAUACAUCGGAAUCUACUCUGUCGUGGGGGAGAACGUAGGGAAACUUACGCUAAUACCGCAUACGACCUACGGGUGAAAGCAGGGGCCCUUCGGGCCUUGCGCGAUUGAAUGAGCCGAUGUCGGAUUAGCGAGUUGGCGGGGUAAAGGCCCACCAAGGCGACGAUCCGUAGCUGGUCUGAGAGGAUGAUCAGCCACACUGGAACUGAGACACGGUCCAGACUCCUACGGGAGGCAGCAGUGGGGAAUAUUGGACAAUGGGCGCAAGCCUGAUCCAGCCAUACCGCGUGGGUGAAGAAGGCCUUCGGGUUGUAAAGCCCUUUUGUUGGGAAAGAAAUCCAGCUGGCUAAUACCCGGUUGGGAUGACGGUACCCAAAGAAUAAGCACCGGCUAACUUCGUGCCAGCCGCCGCGGUAA
Molecule: ribosomal RNA, 506 nt
Filed under: uncultured bacterium
Lineage: Bacteria
Description: partial 16S ribosomal RNA
Rfam family: Bacterial small subunit ribosomal RNA
Source: RNAcentral